UUUUUGGCUAUACUCGGGUACAGCCAAAGCUGGCUGUACCCCAUCCAAAACGAUGUCGUUUUGUGUUGUUUAAAAUGAACAUUAAUAUACUGGUACAAAAAUGAACAUUUACUAUUUCGGAAAUGAACAUUUAUUUAUUUAUUUGGAAUGAACAUUUACUAUUUUAGAAAUGAACAUUUAUUUAUUUAUUUGGAAAUAAACUACAAAAAUGAACAUUUACUAUUUCGGAAAUGAAUAUUUAUUUAUUUAUUUGGAAUAAACAUUUACUAUUUUGGAAAUGAACAUUUAUUUAUUUAUUUGGAAAUAAACAAUAUAGGCGCUUGUAAAAACAUAAGAGAUCAAUGAAGUGAACAAUUUCAUUAUGAACAUUAACCAUAUAUUUAUUGUGAACAAACAAAUAAACAAGAAAGAACAAAUAAUUCAACAAAAAAGAACAAACAAUAUAAAAAAGAACAUAAAAUUCCAGAAAAAAGAACAAACAAUACAACAAUUAUGAACAAUUUUAUGAUGAAUUUUAAAGCCAACAUGAAAGAACAAACAAUACAACAAGAAAGAACAAAUACUGGUACAAAAAUGAACAUUUACUAUUUCGGAAAUGAACAUUUAUUUAUUUAUUUGGAAUGAACAUUUACUAUUUUGAAAAUGAACAUUUAUUUAUUUAUUUGGAAAUAAACAAUAUAGGCGCUUGUAAAAACAUAAAAGACCAAUGAAGUGAACAAUUUCAUUAUGAACAUUAACCAUAUAUUUAUUGUGAACAAACAAAUAAACAAGAAAAAACAAAUAAUUCAACAAAAAAGAACAAACAAUAUAAAAAAGAACAUAAAAUUCCAGAAAAAAGAACAAACAAUACAACAAUUAUGAACAAUUUUAUGAUGAAUUUUAAAGCCAACAUGAAAGAACAAACAAUACAACAAGAAAUAACAAACAAUAAAGCAGAUAAUUAUUAUGAACAAACCAAUAAACAAAAAAAUAAUUCAACAAAAAAGAACAAACAAUAUAAAAAAGAACAUAAAAUCCCAGAAAAAAGAACAAACAAUACAACAAUUAUGAACAAUUUUAUGAUGAAUUUUAAAGCCAACAUGAAAGAACAAACAAUACAACAAUAAGUUUGAUGAAUGAAUUUAAAAAACAACAAGAAAGAACAAACAGUACAACAAGAAAGAACAAACAAUACAAAAAGAAAGAAUAAAGAUUAAUGAAGAGUUUAAUUAUGAACAUUAACCAUAUGAUUAUUAUCAACAAACAAAUAAACAAGUAAACAAGAAAGAACAAACAAUAUAAAAAAGAACAUAAAAUUCCAGAAGAAAGAACAAAAAAUACAACAAUUAUGAAAAUUUGAUGAUGAAUUUAAAAAACAACAUGAAAGAACAAACAGUACAACAUGAAAGAACAAACAGUACAACAAGAAAGAACAAACAAUACAAUAAGAAUGAACAAACAGUACAAUAAAAAAGAACAAACAGUCGACAAGAAUGAACAAACAAUAUAAGCGCGUUGUUUUGGGUACAGCCAGAGCUGGCUGUACCCGGGUACAGCAGUUAGCUAUAUACCAAAACUUGGGAGUUAAAUGAGAAAGACCCACUAAAUUCCUAAAUAUUCGGAGAGCCCACUACCUAAACACAUAUACGUGGGUUAAUAGAGGAUGAAGUUUUCAACCAGCAAAAAUCUCUUCGCCUUCCUUCUCGGCAACAGAAAUCCCACCGCACUAAUCUUCUACUUCCGAUAUCUCCGGUAAAAAAUUAGGGUUUAUCAUAUAUAAAUUUGCAUCUCAACCCCUCAAACACACACAGAGAAGCAGACAACACAAAGGAGAUCGAACCAUAAAUUUGUGAGUUGAGGGGUUGCAAUUGGGUUUUGAAUUGGGUAAUUAAGGAGAGAAGACAGCCAUUAGAAGAAAGCUUAGUCUCGAAUCUAAGGUCGAACAAGAGCAACAACGAGUCGCGGGGUCGAAGCCAAGUUCGUUCGGGUGUUCUUGAGCACAAAUUCAUGAGUGCAUGAGUGGUGGCACACCUAAUUCUAAACUCAAGCGAAUCAGGAAGUAUAUAGAUCAAGAGAGAUUAAUCUACGCGUUUCAAAUAGAUCAACCAGAAGAAGAGAAACCAGAGGAAGUUAAACCAACAGAAGAUAGUCUAGAAGCAGCAAAAAUGGGUGAAAGAACCUUGAAGGAGAUCGAACCAUAAAUUUGUGAGUUGAGGGGUUGCAAUUGGGUUUUGAAUUGGGUAAUUAAGGAGAGAAGACAACCAUUAGAAGAAAGCUUAGUCUCGAAUCUAAGGUCGAACAAGAGCAACAACGAGUCGCGGGGUCGAAGCCAAGUUCGUUCGGGUGUUCUUGAGCACAAAUUCAUGAGUUCUUUUCUUACUCAAUUACUCCAAUUUCAUACUUUUUUGUAUACUUGCUUAUUUAUUAGAUUGCUUUGGUUGAGUUUUCAGUAUGAAAUAUUGAUUGGGAUUUUAUAAUCUGUUUGAGUUUUAUUCGAUUUUAAUUAUUAUUUGGGUUUUCUUAUUUAUUCA
Spinacia oleracea (spinach) is the source of this 2510-nucleotide long non-coding RNA. RefSeq lists it as uncharacterized. The transcript is spliced from 2 exons. NCBI's taxonomy places the organism in Eukaryota, Viridiplantae, Streptophyta, Magnoliopsida, Caryophyllales, Amaranthaceae. The record is from RefSeq and is a predicted model, not a curated record.